UUCUUCGAAGAAGCCAUGCGGAAUUGUUGUCAAAAUAAAUGUCAUUUUCGUUCAACGACUUUAUUAUUUUUUUGCUGUUAUUAAUCGAUUUCGUGUUGAAUAUCAUUUAUUGUGUGUUUUCUAAUACAUAUUAUUUUCUUAAAUCACAAUAUGAACAAAUCGCCAAUGUAAAUAUGGUCGAAAAUUCUAAAAAACGUAAAAGACACGCAGUUGAUCAACCUAACCAAACUAUAGUAAAAAGAGGUGUUAUAGAUGCAAACUGGCAGAAAUUACUGCAAUCCACGUCGUUAAUGGAGAAACCGAACGAAAAACCAGCGGCUACAGAUAAAAAAGAGCACUUUACUGGCACAUUUAGGCGGGGACGAAAGAAAAAAAACAAAGACCAAGACACGGUUGAGAACAACUUGAAAUCUCUGAAUAUAGAUAAUAAAUCUGCACAAGUAGUUAGUCCACUUCCUAAUGACGAUAAGAAAGAUGUUAGGGAGGAUAAAAAGAAUAAAUUAACAAAGUUUAUAGCAAUGGAUUGCGAGAUGGUUGGUAUAGGAUAUAAUGGCGAAGACCACAUGAUUGCUCGGGUAUCCCUGGUCAACAAAUUCGGUGACUGCAUUUAUGACAAGUUUGUGAAAGCGCGGGAACAGGUCGUAGAUUAUAGAACGCAAAUAAGUGGUGUAAGGAAGGAGGAUAUGUUAAACGGUGAAGACUUUAAUGUAGUUCAGAAGGAGGUAUCGGAAAUAUUGAAAGGACGAAUUCUAGUGGGACAUUCGUUGAAGACUGACCUUAGUGUGCUUUUCUUGUCACAUCCGAAGAAGAAUAUUAGAGAUACAUCUAAAUAUAAGCCGUUUAAGAAGAUCACGAAAGGCAGUACGCCCUCCCUAAAACGUUUAGCAAAAGAAAUCCUAGGUAUAGACAUACAGCACGGAGAACACAGUUCUGUCGAAGACGCGAAGGCAACAAUGCAGUUGUAUAACACAGUAGCGAAGAGUUGGGAACAGCUGUUGAGUGAGAAACGAGGUUAUAGCCGGAAGUUUGUGGAAAGCUAGUCUUUAUGAUAAAUGGCUAUAUUCAAAAUGAUUUUAUUAGUAAAAAGGUGUAGAUAAAAAUAAAACCGAAAGAGUAGAAUAGCUCUGGCAGGAUCUCAGGUGGCCUAGAGAUCAAAGGCGAAAGAAUGGCAAAAGACGCGGGUUUGAAUCAGGAAUCGUGAUUGAAUUUGUUCUAUUUAAAAAUUUCUCAUUUACAAAAUAUUCGAAUGCUAUAAAAAAUUAUUAAAUACAAAAUUCAAUCUUCAAUGAACACUCGCACACACAAUAUGACAUCAAAAUGAGAUGGCAUGAUUCAACUAUCGUGAGCAAGAGACAACUAAAGUAAAAUGUGGCUAAUUAGCAGCAUUAGAGCUAUCUACACCAUUCUACUUAUAAUAUCAUGUAUAGCAAGAUUUCUCAUUCAAUGACUUCAUGUUCAUAA
Molecule: RNA transcript, 1461 nt
Organism: Colias croceus (clouded yellow)
Lineage: Eukaryota; Metazoa; Arthropoda; Insecta; Lepidoptera; Pieridae
Gene name: RNA exonuclease 4
Exons: 3
Source: RefSeq, a predicted model, not a curated record